This is a long non-coding RNA of Suricata suricatta (meerkat), 780 nucleotides long. RefSeq lists it as uncharacterized. The record is from RefSeq and is a predicted model, not a curated record. The transcript is spliced from 3 exons. NCBI's taxonomy places the organism in Eukaryota, Metazoa, Chordata, Mammalia, Carnivora, Herpestidae.
GCCUCCUGGCCGCCGCAGCGGUGCUUACGGCCCGACCCCACCCACCAGUAACCAGCCAAUGCUGCUCCAACGUCCGGAGGCCCCGCCCCGCACACAUCCAGAGACUGAAAGAGCCACCCCAGCAACGCCCCAGCCACGCAGGACUCAUCUGGAAGCUUCCUGGCUCCACACCCACUGGAGCUACUAAGGGAGGGUGCCUGCCAGUUUUCUGAGGCUGUCCAUGGCACCUGGCAGUCAGGCCAGCAACCUUCAUCCACCUUGGUCAAAGAAGACAAGACUGUCCUGUAGCCAGAGCCACACUCAGAGCCCCUUCCAGAUUCCACUGCUUCCUUGAGUCACAAUCCAGUCUAGUAACUACAAGUAACUACAAACAUCAGAGAAAGGAGCAAGGAGACUCAAAAGAAGACAAGGGAUGUGUCCAGACCACAAAUCCCCCAGUGACAGGGAUGGAGUCAAAAUAUUCUUCCUAGAGGUAGUGAAGAGUUAUGUGUAGCCUCUACAACUUCUCAGCUACACUGUGAGCUCCUAGAGGCAGAACACAGGACUAAGUUGCCUGACUAUCCUGCAUGGAGUCCUAUCGACAAGGUUCAAUGAACAUCAGAUGAACGAAUGAUUGAAGAAGGGAGAAUGAAGGGUAAUUUUGCCUGUUGUAAGUAGGGGGUCUGUCACUGGGUACUUGCUCUAUAUGGGUAUGCGGGGUUUCUGUCUUCAUAAAGAUUCCUGGGAUACUGGGGUGUGGCAUGCCUUGAGAAGAAUCCUCAGUGGGAAAGGGUGAAUAUU